Molecule: ribosomal RNA, 2803 nt
Filed under: Triticum aestivum (bread wheat)
Lineage: Eukaryota; Viridiplantae; Streptophyta; Magnoliopsida; Poales; Poaceae
Description: partial small subunit ribosomal RNA
Source: RNAcentral
CCCCCUCCCAUCCCCCAUUCCCACCCAUCACUCCCCCCCGAACCUUCUAGAAGCCCCCGAGGCCAGAACCCUACGCACCCAUGGCGGCCUCGCUCCUCUCGCGCGCCGCCUCGGCCGCCUUCGCCCUCCGCGGCGGCGCCCGGCUCCUCCCCAAGGAAACCCCCCUUCCUCCUCCCCUCCUCCUCCCACUCCUCCUCAUCCUCCUCGCCACCGCCGCCGGCACGCUCCCCGCGGUCGUAACCCUGCCGCUGCAACCACCGCCUCGAUCUGCCAGGUCUGAUAGUGUUCGCCUCUUGGAAACUUGCAGGGCAGGGUCGGAUGGGCGCGCGGCGGAGGUCGGGUGCGGGGCGUCGCUGUCACCGUCGAUGACGCGGUUCGGGAUCGCCGUGCGCUUCAACGCCAUGUCGUCGGCCGUCUCGGAGGCCGCCACCACCACGGCCGCGUCGAGCGUCGUCCACGCGGUGCCGCGGACCGAGCCUGUCAUGUCCGCCGAGUGGCUGCACGCCAACCUCAGGGACCCUGAUGUGAAGGUUUCUUCGUCAUGAUCUGGAUUGCCGCAGUCAUGUUCAAGUCCAAUGAUAUCUUGCGCAAGCAGACUGCUCUCAAGGUUGGUGCUUCAUAAUAACUUUUCUAUCAACGUGCUUCUUCUGCUUCUAGAGGUUAAUUAAUUGUUCUGACAAGCAGACUGCUCUCAAGAGCUUGUGCUUAUCUUGUGUAUCAACGUUCUUGUUCUGCUUCUAGCACUGGGUCUAUCCCUUCUAUUGAGGAAGCCGGCUGGCAGACUGCUGCCAUCACUAAAUAUUUGCUGCAUACUUAAUCACCACUUUGUAGAUGAAUUAUUAUUUAUUUUUGUCAUAUAUGUAGUUCAUCUGUCCAAUGCUCUGCACUAUAAAUACUAAUUUGUGUGCCAGGCCACCAUUGUGGUAGUGCCCAUGUCUCUUCUCCAGUCAGUCACAUCGUGCUAUGAUGCACACAUCCUCAAGUCUGGGAAGCAACCCUGGUAAGCCAAUUAUUGAAGCGCAUUUUUUUAGUCCCAUCACAUGCACAAUCUCAUCAAUGGUUAAUUUUCCAUUAUCAUGUUCAAGAGUUUCUUGGCCAGCUCUGAUAAUUGGGAUCUCAUGGAUGCCACAAUUGCACACAAUAAAUAAACAAAUUUGAUGAUGCCUUCUUGAACAGAUCAGCCUCCCCCCUUGCAAAAGAAAAAACGAUCAGCCUCCCUAGAUGAAAUCAAUAAACUGGAGCACUCCAACUAUUUUCUACUUAGCCCUCAGAAACAAGUAUGACUACUAGCCAACUACACUCAUAUCAUAGAGCUCUAAAAUAUACUGUAACUAUCUCACAUGGUAUUGUACUAAAAAAACAAAGUUUUUCAAUUUUUCACUAAACUACUACUCAAAUCAUCCUAUUGUUGCGAAGUUGUGAGGUAUAUAUAUGAUAGCUUACAAUUGUUUGAAAAACUAAGACCAUGGUCUAUCCUAAAUGUGAGAUUUCAUUUUGAAUUAGUUGGUAGGCUUAAUUCUUUUGUUCUGCUUCAGCUCACUCUUACAUAAUGCCAAUUCGUGUCAAGAGCCCUUCGCUGGCAACUUACUAGAUGUAGAAACCCAAGUGGACGCAACCGCUGAGCCCUAAAUUGUUGUUUUUUGUGACGAUUAUCGGUAUGUAUUUACAUCAGCCAGAACAUCUUAUAUGGGUGUCUUAUCGUAAUAUUUCUACCUGGCAAAGAUUGAUUCUUGAAUUUUACCACGUCCUUUCCUACUUUUACCAUUCAAUUAUUACAAUUGCUGUAUGUAUCAUAUUUGUUGUCAGGUGAGCCUUGAAACAUACUCCCUUUGUAUCAAAAUAUAAGAUGUUUUUUGACACUGGAGUAUAUGGCUUGCUAAUCCCAUCAUGAUUACGAAUAUAUAUAUGUUGUUUGCUGCUGGAGAAAAAUAAAUUUGCUGUCCAUUGAUUGAGUGCAUUACAGUAAUAAUUUCCAAACGUCACAUGAAACAAGGAAAUAUUUUCACGUGACUUCCUGUUUUGACAGAUAUAACAAGGAAACAUCCACAUCAAUUUUGUUCUUGAUAUAUUUUAUAUUGGUUUAUAGCUCACUCAUCAUACCAUUUUUUAUUUGUGGUAUAAGAAUAUUUGCCUUCUCAAACUUCCAUUUUUUUGGGAUUGUACUAUGCUCAAUUAAUUUGAUAGAAGUAUACCCAGAGUACGAUAAACAAGGAAACAAAGCACACCCGCAUAAUUAAAUUAGCUUUGCCAAGGAUAUAGGGCAAAACUUCCUCGUGUAGAUCUUCUGCUUGUAUUGCACUAAGCUCUUGGUUACCAUUUGGAAUCUUAUUCCAGGAUCCAUGUUAAUCCCAUACAUAUUUCCGAGCUUGUAGGAUGACUGGAAUAUUGCCCUGUUUUACGUCGAAUAUCUCAAGCGACAAAAUUUGCUCUUAAUGUACUGCUGCAGGAUCUGGAUAUCUCUCAAAAUUUAGUACUUUCUGGUGUUGAUCUCAAGUGUUGGCUCCUACAGCAUUGCAUUUCACCAAGUGAAAUGCUACAUUUCUACUCCUAACCCAUUGUCUCUUUCUUAGUGUUUUUGUUAUGCAGGUUGGAAGAAAAGAAGAAGAUCCAGAGAAGAUCUUAGUAGUAAGAUAGUUUUUUAAGAAAAUAGAUAUUUAGUUUUAGGUCAUUUCUUGUAAUUUCAGAUAUGGAGUGAUUGUUUAUAGUUUUUGUUUUGACUUUGUGAAACUUGCUACCUAUGGAUGAAACUGUGUAAUAUUGAUGAAACUAUGUAUAUGUAUGGAUGAAACUUGCUACUAUUGGU